Molecule: ribosomal RNA, 118 nt
Filed under: Escherichia coli
Lineage: Bacteria; Pseudomonadati; Pseudomonadota; Gammaproteobacteria; Enterobacterales; Enterobacteriaceae
Source: RNAcentral
CCUGAUAAGCGAGUAGCGCGGUGGUCCCACCUGACCCCAUGCCGAACUCAGAAGUGAAACGCCGUAGCGCCGAUGGUAGUGUGGGGUCUCCCCAUGCGAGAGUAGGGAACUGCCAGGC